GCCUCCAUGGUGUUUGCACUCCAGGCAGCCACCUCGAUGGGAUUGUCUUCGCCGCCGCCGUUUCACUUCGGUCAUCUCAUCACCAUCAAGCUCUCCGCCGACAACUACAUCUUCUGGUGUGCGCAGGUUCUCCCGCUCUUGGGGAGUCACUACCUGCUAGGCUACGUCGACGGGUCGCUUCCCUGCCCACCCGCGCUGGUAGACAGCGUGCACGGUCCGGUCUACAAUCCGGCCCAUCGCGUCUGGACGGGGCAGGACCAGGCGAACCUCUCCUCCAUCCAGGGGUCGCUCUCGGCGGCAGUUGCCGGCCUUGUUGUCUUCGCGAAGACGUCUCAUAAGGCCUGGACCAUCCUUGAGCGCACCUUUGCAGCGCAGUCCCAGGCUCGUGUCUCUGCACUCCGUCGUCAGCUUGGAGAGUGUCAGAAGCUUGACUCCACUGCCACUGAGUUCUACAACAAGGUCAAGGGCCUCGCCGACACAUUGGCCUCCAUUGGACAGCCCCUCACCGACUCCGAGUUCAACUCGUUUAUUGUCAAUGGUCUUGAUGAGGAGUAUGAUGCCUUAGUCGAGAUCAUCAACGAGCGGGGCAACUCGACACCCAUGCUGGCACACGAGGUUUUC
RNAcentral lists this ribosomal RNA (621 nucleotides) under Triticum aestivum (bread wheat). Its description in RNAcentral is "partial small subunit ribosomal RNA". Lineage: Eukaryota; Viridiplantae; Streptophyta; Magnoliopsida; Poales; Poaceae. The record is from RNAcentral.